RNAcentral lists this transfer RNA (72 nucleotides) under Bos taurus (domestic cattle). It matches the Rfam family "tRNA". From Rfam's summary of the family: Transfer RNA (tRNA) molecules are approximately 80 nucleotides in length. Their secondary structure includes four short double-helical elements and three loops (D, anti-codon, and T loops). RNAcentral also lists the same sequence under 3 other names. The record is from Rfam by way of RNAcentral. Lineage: Eukaryota; Metazoa; Chordata; Mammalia; Artiodactyla; Bovidae.
UCCCUGGUAGCUCAGCUGGUAAAGAACCUGCCUGCAAUGCAGGAGACCCCGGUUCGAUCCCUGGGUUGGGAA